GAUGAAGAACGUAGCGAAAUGCGAUAAGUAGUGUGAAUUGCAGAAUUCAGUGAAUCAUCGAAUCUUUGAACGCACAUUGCGCCCUUUGGUAUUCCAAAGGGCAUGCCUGUUCGAGCGUCAUUUGUACCCUCAAGCUUUGCUGGGUGUUGGGCGUCUUGUCUCUAGCUUUGCUGGAGACUCGCCUUAAAGUAAUUGGCAGCCGGCCUACUGGUUUCGGAGCGCAGCACAAGUCGCACUCUCUAUCAGCAAAGGUCUAGCAUCCAUUAAGCCUUUUUUUCAACUUUUGACCUCGGAUCAGGUAGGGAUACCCGCUGAACUUAAGCAUAUCAAUAAGCGGAGGA
This 341-nucleotide unclassified non-coding RNA is filed under the name soil metagenome. RNAcentral's name for it is "partial contains 5.8S ribosomal RNA, internal transcribed spacer 2, and large subunit ribosomal RNA". The stretch from base 1 to 120 matches the Rfam family "5.8S ribosomal RNA", at positions 35 to 154 of the family's 154-position model. The record is from RNAcentral.